GAUGAACGCUGGCGGCGUGCCUAAUACAUGCAAGUCGAGCGAACGGACGAGAAGCUUGCUUCUCUGAUGUUAGCGGCGGACGGGUGAGUAACACGUGGAUAACCUACCUAUAAGACUGGGAUAACUUCGGGAAACCGGAGCUAAUACCGGAUAAUAUUUUGAACCGCAUGGUUCAAAAGUGAAAGACGGUCUUGCUGUCACUUAUAGAUGGAUCCGCGCUGCAUUAGCUAGUUGGUAAGGUAACGGCUUACCAAGGCAACGAUGCAUAGCCGACCUGAGAGGGUGAUCGGCCACACUGGAACUGAGACACGGUCCAGACUCCUACGGGAGGCAGCAGUAGGGAAUCUUCCGCAAUGGGCGAAAGCCUGACGGAGCAACGCCGCGUGAGUGAUGAAGGUCUUCGGAUCGUAAAACUCUGUUAUUAGGGAAGAACAUAUAUGUAAGUAACUGUGCACAUCUUGACGGUACCUAAUCAGAAAGCCACGGCUAACUACGUGCCAGCAGCCGCGGUAAUACGUAGGUGGCAAGCGUUAUCCGGAAUCAUUGGGCGUAAAGCGCGCGUAGGCGGUUUUUUAAGUCUGAUGUGAAAGCCCACGGCUCAACCGUGGAGGGUCAUUGGAAACUGGAAAACUUGAGUGCAGAAGAGGAAAGUGGAAUUCCAUGUGUAGCGGUGAAAUGCGCAGAGAUAUGGAGGAACACCAGUGGCGAAGGCGACUUUCUGGUCUGUAACUGACGCUGAUGUGCGAAAGCGUGGGGAUCAAACAGGAUUAGAUACCCUGGUAGUCCACGCCGUAAACGAUGAGUGCUAAGUGUUAGGGGGUUUCCGCCCCUUAGUGCUGCAGCUAACGCAUUAAGCACUCCGCCUGGGGAGUACGACCGCAAGGUUGAAACUCAAAGGAAUUGACGGGGACCCGCACAAGCGGUGGAGCAUGUGGUUUAAUUCGAAGCAACGCGAAGAACCUUACCAAAUCUUGACAUCCUUUGACAACUCUAGAGAUAGAGCUUUCCCCUUCGGGGGACAAAGUGACAGGUGGUGCAUGGUUGUCGUCAGCUCGUGUCGUGAGAUGUUGGGUUAAGUCCCGCAACGAGCGCAACCCUUAAGCUUAGUUGCCAUCAUUAAGUUGGGCACUCUAAGUUGACUGCCGGUGACAAACCGGAGGAAGGUGGGGAUGACGUCAAAUCAUCAUGCCCCUUAUGAUUUGGGCUACACACGUGCUACAAUGGACAAUACAAAGGGCAGCGAAACCGCGAGGUCAAGCAAAUCCCAUAAAGUUGUUCUCAGUUCGGAUUGUAGUCUGCAACUCGACUACAUGAAGCUGGAAUCGCUAGUAAUCGUAGAUCAGCAUGCUACGGUGAAUACGUUCCCGGGUCU
This 1372-nucleotide ribosomal RNA is filed under the name uncultured bacterium. Its description in RNAcentral is "bacterial SSU rRNA". It matches the Rfam family "Bacterial small subunit ribosomal RNA", at positions 28 to 1381 of the family's 1533-position model. The record is from RNAcentral.